UCCACGCCGUAAACGAUGGGUACUAGGUGUAGGGGGUAUCGACCCCUUCUGUGCCGGAGUUAACACAAUAAGUACCCCGCCUGGGGAGUACGGCCGCAAGGUUGAAACUCAAAGGAAUUGACGGGGGCCCGCACAAGCGGUGGAGCAUGUGGUUUAAUUCGACGCAACGCGAAGAACCUUACCAGGGCUUGACAUCCUCUGACAGCUUAAGAGAUUAAGUGUUCAGUCUUCGGAUUGACAGAGAGACAGGUGGUGCAUGGUUGUCGUCAGCUCGUGUCGUGAGAUGUUGGGUUAAGUCCCGCAACGAGCGCAACCCUUAUUC
RNAcentral lists this ribosomal RNA (322 nucleotides) under uncultured bacterium. RNAcentral describes it as "bacterial SSU rRNA". It matches the Rfam family "Bacterial small subunit ribosomal RNA", at positions 794 to 1110 of the family's 1533-position model. The record is from RNAcentral.